Molecule: ribosomal RNA, 253 nt
Filed under: uncultured bacterium
Lineage: Bacteria
Description: partial 16S ribosomal RNA
Rfam family: Bacterial small subunit ribosomal RNA
Source: RNAcentral
UACGUAGGGGGCAAGCGUUGUCCGGAAUCAUUGGGCGUAAAGAGCGCGUAGGCGGUCCGGUAAGUCGGUUGUGAAAACUGGGGGCUCAACCCUCAGAGGCCGACCGAUACUGCCGGGCUAGAGUCCGGAAGAGGCGAGUGGAAUUCCUGGUGUAGCGGUGAAAUGCGCAGAUAUCAGGAGGAACACCAAUGGCGAAGGCAGCUCGCUGGGACAGUACUGACGCUGAGGCGCGAAAGCGUGGGGAGCAAACAGG